UUGCCCCAGGGCCGGAAGCAGGGUGUGAAAAGUGCGCGUGCAGCGUGCCAGAGCGCGCCUUCGCGGCUACUGGUUUGCGGGCCGUCGUUUUUGCGUGGGGUAGGCUCCUGACAAACCCACAAGCAGAGCUAGCCUCUCCGAUGCCGGGAAAUCGUGCGGGGUCCCAGCCCAGGUCUCGGGGCCCGCAGCAGUCCAGGCAGACGAGCGCACGACAACGGUAAUGGCAGGUGAACUUGCAGUCUGCAGAAAGGGCUGGCCGUGAGGCGGAGGAGCUCAGCGAAGUGACCCACUGACAGGGGGCCUCCGCCCGACGGGUUUGGGCUUGACUGGCUUUUUCUCAAGCUCGGUUAUGGCCCCCCGCAACACAGAUUUUAGAGUCGUCAGUCCGAAGUACCUCUGGAAACCGACUGGAAGGCCUCAGGAACUUAAAGAUCUAACCCUGCUAACCCCGCAGAGCUAUUACUUCACUUUGCCAUUAACUUGAAAACAAAAGCGCUUAAUUACGACUUCCUC
Molecule: long non-coding RNA, 513 nt
Organism: Myodes glareolus (Bank vole)
Lineage: Eukaryota; Metazoa; Chordata; Mammalia; Rodentia; Cricetidae
Source: RefSeq, a predicted model, not a curated record